Molecule: ribosomal RNA, 253 nt
Filed under: uncultured bacterium
Lineage: Bacteria
Description: partial 16S ribosomal RNA
Rfam family: Bacterial small subunit ribosomal RNA
Source: RNAcentral
UACGUAGGGUCCAAGCGUUAAUCGGAAUUACUGGGCGUAAAGCGUGCGCAGGCGGCUUUGCAAGUCAGACGUGAAAUCCCCGGGCUUAACCUGGGAAUGGCGUUUGAAACUACGGAGCUGGAGUGUGGCAGAGGGAGGUAGAAUUCCACGUGUAGCGGUGAAAUGCGUAGAUAUGUGGAGGAAUACCGAUGGCGAAGGCAGCCUCCUGGGCCAACACUGACGCUCAUGCACGAAAGCGUGGGGAGCAAACAGG